Molecule: small RNA, 19 nt
Filed under: Arabidopsis thaliana (thale cress)
Lineage: Eukaryota; Viridiplantae; Streptophyta; Magnoliopsida; Brassicales; Brassicaceae
Description: ATSL220340
Source: RNAcentral
UAUUUUUUUCCUUCUUCUU